RNAcentral lists this ribosomal RNA (433 nucleotides) under uncultured bacterium. RNAcentral's name for it is "bacterial SSU rRNA". It matches the Rfam family "Bacterial small subunit ribosomal RNA", at positions 29 to 507 of the family's 1533-position model. The record is from RNAcentral.
AACGAACGCUGGCGGCAGGCCUAACACAUGCAAGUCGAGCGAGCAUUUCGGUGCUAGCGGCGGACGGGUUAGUAACGCGUGGGAACGUGCCCUUUGCUACGGAAUAGUCCUGGGAAACUGGGGGUAAUACCGUAUGUGCCCUUCGGGGGAAAGAUUUAUCGGCAAAGGAUCGGCCCGCGUUGGAUUAGGUAGUUGGUGGGGUAAUGGCCUACCAAGCCGACGAUCCAUAGCUGGUUUGAGAGGAUGAUCAGCAACACUGGGACUGAGACACGGCCCAGACUCCUACGGGAGGCAGCAGUGGGGAAUCUUAGACAAUGGGCGCAAGCCUGAUCUAGCCAUGCCGCGUGGACGAUGAAGGCCUUAGGGUUGUAAAGUCCUUUCAGCUGGGAAGAUAAUGACGGUACUAUAUGAAUAAGCACCGGCUAACUCCGUG